This 762-nucleotide ribosomal RNA is filed under the name Triticum aestivum (bread wheat). RNAcentral's name for it is "partial small subunit ribosomal RNA". Lineage: Eukaryota; Viridiplantae; Streptophyta; Magnoliopsida; Poales; Poaceae. The record is from RNAcentral.
AUGGCGGCUAUGGGUGGGGAUGAAAGGCAGAGGAUGGAGGCUCCGGCAGGGGACAAGUUCCCGGAGGGGCUGCACGUGCUCGCUGUGGACGACGACAGCGUCUGCCUCAAGGUACUGGAGGUCGUUCUGCGUUGCUGCAAAUACAACCCAACGACCGUGACGGACGCGAAGACAGCGUUGAAGAUGCUAAGGGCGGGGAAGGCAGAGUUCGACCUGGUGAUCACCGACGUGCACAUGCCAGGCGUGGACGGCUUCAAGCUCCUUGAGCUCAUCCACCUUGAGAUGGAUCUGCCCGUCAUCAUGCUAUCUGUGGAUUGCGACAAGAAGGCUGUGAUGAAGGGCAUAACACAUGGGGCGUGCGACUAUUUGGUGAAGCCAGCGUGCACCAAUGAGCUAAAAAAUAUAUGGCAACAUGUUGAAAGGAGGAGAAAUUUUGAAGCAAAAACACACAUCAACAACAACAACAACAACAAUGAUGAUGAUGAUGAUAGAGUGCAGCCAAGGACUGCUGCCACGAGCAAGGACUCAGAUAAUAAGGGCAAUGAAAGAUAUGAUUCUAACGAGAACCAAGAGAUCACACACGUAUCCACCACCUGGAAGAAGCCAAGGGUGGUAUGGACAAUUGAGCUUCAGAACAAAUUUCUAGAAGCUAUUGACCAGAUCGGCCUAGACAAGGCCGUUCCAAAAAAGAUAUUGGAACUAAUGAAAGUGGAUUACCUCACCAGAGACAGUAUCGCAAGUCAUCUACAUGUUUAUUUUUGA